Molecule: ribosomal RNA, 440 nt
Filed under: uncultured bacterium
Lineage: Bacteria
Description: bacterial SSU rRNA
Rfam family: Bacterial small subunit ribosomal RNA
Source: RNAcentral
CCUACGGGUGGCAGCAGUUUCGAAUCUUUCACAAUGGGCGCAAGCCUGAUGGAGCAACGCCGCGUGGGGGAUGACGGCCUUCGGGUUGUAAACCCCUGUCACCAAGGAUAAACCGUAGUCGGUUAAUACCCGGCUGCCUGAUGUAACUUGGAGAGGAAGGAGUGGCUAACUCUGUGCCAGCAGCCGCGGUAAUACAGAGACUCCAAGCGUUAUUCGGAUUCACUGGGCGUAAAGGGUGCGCAGGCGGCCGAGUGUGUCGGAGGUGAAAUCUUGCAGCUUAACUGUAAAAUUGCCUUCGAAACUACUCGGCUAGAGUAUCGGAGAGGAUAGCGGAAUUCCAGGUGUAGCAGUGAAAUGCGUAGAUAUCUGGAGGAACACCAAUGGCGAAGGCAGCUAUCUGGACGAUUACUGACGCUCAGGCACGAAAGCAUGGGGAGCGA